GGCCGCAGUAUAUUAACUGUGCAAAGGUAGCAUAAUCAUUAGUCUUUUAAUUGAAGGCUGGCAUGAAUGGUUGGACAAAAUAUUAACUGUUUCAUAAAAAUUUGUUUUAGAAUUUUAUUUUUUAGUUAAAAAGCUAAAAUUUAUUUAAAAGACGAGAAGACCCUAUAAAUCUUUAUAUUUAUAUUUAUAAUUUUUAUUUUUGAAAUAUUUAAUAAUUAUAAAUUAUAAUAUUUUAUUGGGGUGAUAUUAAAAUUUAAUAAACUUUUAAUUUUAUAUUUCAUUAAUUUAUGAAUAGUUGAUCCGUUAUUAACGAUUAAAAAUUUAAGUUACUUUAGGGAUAACAGCGUAAUUUUUUUGGCGAGUUCUUAUUAAUAAAAAAGAUUGCGACCUCGAUGUUGGAUU
This 402-nucleotide ribosomal RNA is filed under the name Nealsomyia rufella. RNAcentral describes it as "partial 16S rRNA". The record is from RNAcentral. Lineage: Eukaryota; Metazoa; Arthropoda; Insecta; Diptera; Tachinidae.